Molecule: long non-coding RNA, 2011 nt
Filed under: Homo sapiens (human)
Lineage: Eukaryota; Metazoa; Chordata; Mammalia; Primates; Hominidae
Description: non-protein coding lnc-EZH2-3:1
Source: RNAcentral
CAGGAAGCAAGAGAGAGAGACAGAGGGGAGGUAACAGGCUCCUUUUAGCCAUCAGCUCUCAUGGGAAUUGACAGAACGAGAAUUCACUCACCCCCACCCACCUCCUGGAGGGGAUUAAUCUAUUCAUGAGGGAUCCACCCCCAUGACCCAAACACCUCCCAUUAGGCCUCACCUCCAACACUGGAGAUCAGACUCCAACAUUAGAUUUGGAAGGGACAAGCAUCCAAGCUGUAGCAUGGUUCCAGGUUGGAAAUCAUUUUCCCUUCAACAUUCGAAGGCAGUGCACUCAGUGUUGCUGUUGAGAAAUCUGAAGCCGUGCAGAUUCCCAUCUCCGGGUUGUAUCUGUUUGCUCGGGAUGCCAUAACAAAGGACCACAGACUGGGGGGUUUAAACAGCAGAAGUUUACUUUCUCACAGUACUGGAGGCUGGAAGUCUGAGGUCAAGGUGCUGGCGGUGUCGGUUUCUCCUGAGCCCUCUCUCUUUUGCCGGGGCUGUUCUGCUUGCUGGAUUGGAAAUGAUUUUAGCCCCUCAUGCCAGGAAGAAAACAUAGGCAGAUUUCUCACCAGCUAAAAAGGAAGGAAAAAUUGUGAAGUGAAAUUUUCUACUGGCUGUGGUUUAUCCAUGUUAAAUUGUAAAGCAUAUAACACAGAUGGAAUCCGGCACAUGCAAAACACUCACAAAACCUAGUUACUACUACUGCUGGCGCUGCGGCUACACGACUACAACUACUACUACAGCCACUACUCUCCUCCUACUGCUACUGCUGCUGCUGCUAGUGUUUCGUAAAGUGGAGCUACAGAAAUCAACAUUUUUUUUCUUAGCUGCACAGUGAAUUCGUUUUUUGGACUCCAGUAUUCUUCCUGAAGGUCUGUUUCAUCCUAGUAUGACUCUCACUUUUUUUUCAAAAUUUUAUUUUAUUUUAUUUUUGAAAUGGAGCCUCACUCUGUUGCCCAGGCUGGAGUGCAGUGGCGUGAUCUCGGCUCACUACAACCUCCGCCUCUGGGUUCAAGAGAUUCUCCUGCCUCGGCCUACUGAGUAGCUGGGAUUACAGGCACGCGCCACCACGCCCAGCUAAUUUUUGUAUUUUCAGAAGAGAUGGGGUUUCACCAUGUUGGCCAGGAGGGUCUCAAUCUCCUGACCUCAUGAUCCGCCUGCCUCGGCUUCCCAAAGUGCUGGGAUUGCAGGCGUGAGCCACCAUGCCUCUACAUUUUAAUUUUUUAAAACUUACCAUCUUUAUCAUUUUUAAGUGUACAGUUAAGUGGUAAUAAAUACAUAUGUAUCUCCUAUCUCAUUUCCUUAUUUUCAUCCCCCAUCCCAUUUCUGGACUCUGGCUAAUAGCAGUCUACUCGGUAUCAUCACGAGAUCCACGUUUUUAGUUUCCACAUAUGAAUGAGAACAUGCGAUAUUUGUCUUUCUGUGCUUGGCUUAUUUCACUUAACAUAAUGGCCUCUGGUUCCAUCCAUGCUGCUGCAAGUGACAGGAUUUCACUCUUUUUAUAGCUGAAUAAUAUUCCAUUGUGUAAAUAUAACACAUUUCCUUUAUUCAUCUGUUGAUGGGUACUUACGUUGAUUCUAUAUUUUGAAUAGUGCUGCAGUAAACAUGGGAGGGAGAUAUCUCUUUAAUAUACUGAUUUCCUUUCUUUUGAGUAUAUACCCAGCAGUGAAAUUGCUAGACCAAAUGGUAGUUCUAUUUUUAGUUUUUUUGCAGAACCUCCAUACUGUUCUAAUUUACAUUCCCACCAACAGCGUAUGAGGAUUCCCCUUUCUCCACAUCUUCGCCAGAUCUGUUAUCGCCUGCCUUUAUUUACUUAUUUUUAUUUUUAAUUCUUGUGGGUACGUAGUAGGUAUAUAUGGGAUACAUUAGCUGUUUUGAUAUAGACAUGCAAUCUGUAAUAAUCAUAUCAUGGAAAAUGGGGUAUCCGUCCCCUCAAGCAUUUAUUCUUUGUGUUACCAACAAUUCAAUUAUACUCUUUCAGUUAUUUUGAAAUGUAUAAUUAAAUUAUUAUUGAUGU